This 497-nucleotide ribosomal RNA is filed under the name uncultured bacterium. RNAcentral describes it as "partial 16S ribosomal RNA". It matches the Rfam family "Bacterial small subunit ribosomal RNA", at positions 28 to 507 of the family's 1533-position model. The record is from RNAcentral.
GAUGAACGCUGGCGGCGUGCCUAAUACAUGCAAGUCGAGCGAACAGACGAGGAGCUUGCUCCUCUGACGUUAGCGGCGGACGGGUGAGUAACACGUGGAUAACCUACCUAUAAGACUGGGAUAACUUCGGGAAACCGGAGCUAAUACCGGAUAAUAUAUUGAACCGCAUGGUUCAAUAGUUAAAGACGGUUUUGCUGUCACUUAUAGCUGGAUCCGCGCCGCAUUAGCUAGUUGGUAAGGUAACGGCUUACCAAGGCAACGAUGCGUAGCCGACCUGAGAGGGUGAUCGGCCACACUGGAACUGAGACACGGUCCAGACUCCUACGGGAGGCAGCAGUAGGGAAUCUUCCGCAAUGGGCGAAAGCUUGACGGAGCAACGCCGCGCGAGUGAUGAAGGUCUUCGGAUCGUAAAACUCUGUUAUUAGGGAAGAACAAAUGUGUAAGUAACUAUGCACGUCUUGACGGUACCUAAUCAGAAAGCCACGGCUAACUACGUG